Molecule: small nucleolar RNA, 96 nt
Organism: Pongo abelii (Sumatran orangutan)
Lineage: Eukaryota; Metazoa; Chordata; Mammalia; Primates; Hominidae
Gene: U3
Rfam family: Small nucleolar RNA U3
About the family: Small nucleolar RNAs (snoRNAs) are involved in the processing and modification of rRNA in the nucleolus. There are two main classes of snoRNAs: the box C/D class, and the box H/ACA class. U3 snoRNA is a member of the box C/D class.
Source: Ensembl
AAGACUAUACUUGCAGGGAUCAUUUCUGUAGUUGGUUACUAGAGAAGUUUCUUGUCUGUAGUCGGUUAUUAGAGAUCUGUACCUAAUUUUAAAAGA